Molecule: long non-coding RNA, 223 nt
Filed under: Manihot esculenta (cassava)
Lineage: Eukaryota; Viridiplantae; Streptophyta; Magnoliopsida; Malpighiales; Euphorbiaceae
Description: long non-coding RNA (MESC_LNC011272)
Source: RNAcentral
GAGAAGUCUAGGAGCCUUUGACUAUGCCCUGGCAGGUAUAGAGUAAAGUCCAGGAGCCUUUGACUACGCCCUGGCAAUGGUAAGUACAGAGGUGUUAUAUACACAUAUAUAUAGAUAUAUGACAGGAAGACCAGGUGCUCGAUUCUACGCCCUGGCACGGCAGAGUUACCGGGACUAUGUGGUGACAGGUUUACCCUUGAUGUGGAUUGUCUGUGUUAUGAUG